Molecule: ribosomal RNA, 500 nt
Filed under: uncultured bacterium
Lineage: Bacteria
Description: partial 16S ribosomal RNA
Rfam family: Bacterial small subunit ribosomal RNA
Source: RNAcentral
AUUGAACGCUGGCGGAAUGCUUUACACAUGCAAGUCGAACGGCAGCACGGACUUCGGUCUGGUGGCGAGUGGCGAACGGGUGAGUAAUAUAUCGGAACGUGCCCAGUCGUGGGGGAUAACGUAGCGAAAGCUACGCUAAUACCGCAUACGAUCUACGGAUGAAAGCGGGGGAACGCAAGACCUCGCGCGAUUGGAGCGGCCGAUAUCAGAUUAGGUAGUUGGUGAGGUAAAGGCUCACCGAGCCGACGAUCUGUAGCUGGUCUGAGAGGACGACCAGCCACACUGGGACUGAGACACGGCCCAGACUCCUACGGGAGGCAGCAGUGGGGAAUUUUGGACAAUGGACGCAAGUCUGAUCCAGCCAUUCCGCGUGCAGGACGAAGGCCUUCGGGUUGUAAACUGCUUUUGUACAGAACGAAAAGGUCUCUAUUAAUACUAGGGGCUCAUGACGGUACUGUAAGAAUAAGCACCGGCUAACUACGCGCCAGCCGCCGCGGUAA